Molecule: ribosomal RNA, 292 nt
Filed under: uncultured bacterium
Lineage: Bacteria
Description: partial 16S ribosomal RNA
Rfam family: Bacterial small subunit ribosomal RNA
Source: RNAcentral
GUUUCAGCAGCCGCGGUAAUACGUAGGGUGCGAGCGUUAAUCGGAAUUACUGGGCGUAAAGCGUGCGCAGGCGGUUUUGUAAGCCAGAUGUGAAAUCCCCGGGCUUAACCUGGGAAUGGCAUUUGGGACUGCAAGGCUUGAGUUUGGCAGAGGAGACUGGAAUUCCUGGUGUAGCAGUGAAAUGCGUAGAUAUCAGGAGGAAUACCGAUGGCGAAGGCAGGUCUCUGGGCUAGAACUGACGCUCAUGCACGAAAGCGUGGGGAGCAAACAGGAUUAGAUACCCGUGUAGUCC